AUGGCCGAAUGCUUCAAUAGGGUGCUCAAAGGUGCAUGUGGAUUACCCGUGACGGCAAUAGUUCAAUACACAUUUGACAAGAUGAAUGCGUACUUUGUAAAGUACUCGAUGGAAACCGAUGCACAGAUAGCGGGUGAGAACCCACGGAAGUACAAGUACAAGUUCCCACCCAAAGUUGAUGAAUGGUUGGUAUUUCAAUCACGGAAGGCGGACUCAGAAGAAGCUAUAUUAUAUGACAACGAAGAGUGGAAGUACGAAGUGAAAGAGCCAGGAGGAACCACAAACGAUGGCCGGCAACAUGGAGGUCGAGCUUUCAAGGUGUCGUUAACACAAUGUGAUUGCACUUGCGGGAGGCCAUUGUUGCUUCAUCUCCCAUGCUCACAUUUGUAUGCCGCCGGUCGCGUUAGGAAUGUGGACACUAAUCACCCACGCACCAUGAGGGAUUCGGAGUUCUCAAUCAUGACGGUCAAGAAAACAUGGGCUCCCCGCUUUCCAUACUUUGACCAAUCACAAUGGCCGGAGUAUCAUGGAGUUCAACUAUGGCCGGAUCCGGAGUUGAAGGUUGUUAAACGGGGUAGACGUAAGACAAAGCGUCUUAGAGGCGACAUGGACGGAUGGGGCCAUGGUGGGCACCGCGAAGCGGGCAACGACCAAUUCCAAGAGCCUCGUGAGAGCUCCCGUUGUGGGGAGUGCAAAGGUCAUGGCCACAACAAAAGAAAAUGUACGAAACCAAGGAAAAGGUCCAAGAAAAAUGAUGCAAGCACAAGCCAACAAGGAGCUACACAAGGGAGCCAACCAAGUGGUAGCCAACCUAGUGGUAGCCAACAAGUGCCAAGCCAACCAAGUGGUAGCCAACCUAGUGGUAGCCAACAAGUGCCAAGGCAACCAAGUGGUAGCCAACAAGUGCCUAGCCAACCAAGUGUUAGCCAAAGAGGAUCUAGGCAACAAAGAGGUCGGCAACUUGGACUUACAAGAGGCCGUGGUGGUGGUAGAGGUGGUGGUAAUGGCCGUGGUGAUGGUCUCGGCCUUGGUGAUGGUCUUGGCCUUGGUGGUGGACUUGGCCGUGGUGAUGGACAAGCGCAAGUUCGUUAUAGAGGAAUGUUUGGAUACCUAGAUGGACCGUUUCCGUAUGUUCCUCACUAA
RNAcentral lists this ribosomal RNA (1143 nucleotides) under Triticum aestivum (bread wheat). RNAcentral's name for it is "partial small subunit ribosomal RNA". The record is from RNAcentral. Lineage: Eukaryota; Viridiplantae; Streptophyta; Magnoliopsida; Poales; Poaceae.